AACGAACGCUGGCGGCAGGCCUAACACAUGCAAGUCGAGCGAGGACUCCGGUUCUAGCGGCGGACGGGGGAGUAACGCGUGGGAAUGUGCCCUUCUCUACGGAAUAGUCCUGGGAAACUGGGGGUAAUAUCGUAUACGCUAUAUUGGGGAAAGAUUGAUCGGAGUAGGGUAAGCCCGCGUUGGAUUAGGUGGUUGGUGGGGUAAUGGCCUACCAAGCCGACGAUCCAUAGCGGGUUUGAGAGGCUGGGCAGCCACACUGAGACUGGGACACGGCCCAGACUCCUAGGGGAUGCAGCAAUGGGUGAUCUUAGACAACCGCGGCAACCCUGAACUAGCCAUGCCGCGUGAGUGAUGAAGGCCUUAGAGUUGUAAAGCUCUUUCAGCUGGGAAGAUAAUGACGGUACCAGCAGAAGAAGCCCCGGCUAACUCCGUG
Molecule: ribosomal RNA, 433 nt
Filed under: uncultured bacterium
Lineage: Bacteria
Description: partial 16S ribosomal RNA
Rfam family: Bacterial small subunit ribosomal RNA
Source: RNAcentral